AAGAGAUUCAAUCAGUUACACCUUCUACAGGAAAAGUGUUUUGGCAUCCUUUCUAGGGAAAGACAGACGGAUCAGGCACCAGGUCCCCAAUACUAUGGCAAUUUCUCCAUGUCCAACCACCUCUACCCUGCCUCUUCUGCUGAUGACUCUGCUCCUAAACAUCUCUGCUAACCCCUCUCCCACCUUGGUGGCAGGACAGCUGAUGACUUUCACCUGCAACUACUUGGGAUUCUACAUUCAACAAGUCACAAUUAAAUGGCUGGAAGAUGGGAAGGAGUCACAUUUCCAUCACGAAUCAUUUACCAGCAGCAGAACUAGCAAUACUUUCUACAAUAUCACCAAAAUGGUACAAAUACCAUCCACCUGGUCCAAUGUCCAGGCUCAUGUGAUCUGUAUGGUAAAGUCCAUACCACCCACAUGGCCCUUGACCUUGAAUCCUCCAAAGGAUGAAAUGAACUAUUCCCUAUCAAAUACAGGUAAGCCUGCCUUGCUCAGUUCCUGACAAAGCUCAAGGCAUCAAUCCAGCUGGUCAUAGAAGGUGAGAAUUAAAAAAAAAGAAAGAAAAAGAAUUGGUUGAUCAAUAAAUAUUUAGUGGCAACUAAGUCA
RNAcentral lists this long non-coding RNA (606 nucleotides) under Monodelphis domestica (gray short-tailed opossum). Its description in RNAcentral is "lncRNA (ENSMODG00000051413.1)". The record is from RNAcentral. Lineage: Eukaryota; Metazoa; Chordata; Mammalia; Didelphimorphia; Didelphidae.